RNAcentral lists this non-coding RNA (95 nucleotides) under Thermovirga lienii. RNAcentral's name for it is "TPP sequence". It matches the Rfam family "TPP riboswitch aptamer (THI element)". From Rfam's summary of the family: Vitamin B(1) in its active form thiamin pyrophosphate (TPP) is an essential coenzyme that is synthesised by coupling of pyrimidine and thiazole moieties in bacteria. The previously detected thiamin-regulatory element, thi box was extended, resulting in a new, highly conserved RNA secondary structure, the THI element, which is widely distributed in eubacteria and also occurs in some archaea. Analysis of operon structures identified a large number of new candidate thiamin-regulated genes, mostly transporters, in various prokaryotic organisms. RNAcentral also lists the same sequence under 1 other name. Lineage: Bacteria; Thermotogati; Synergistota; Synergistia; Synergistales; Thermovirgaceae. The record is from RNAcentral.
UGAAGGCCAUGGGGGCGCCCCUAAGAGGGGCUGAGAAGGUACCCCUUGAACCUGAUCCAGGUAAUACUGGCGGAGGGAAUGGCAAGAAAAGGGAA